AGAGUUUGAUCCUGGCUCAGAAUCAACGCUGGCGGCGUGCCUAACACAUGCAAGUCGAACGCGAAAGGGCUUUCGGCCCUGAGUAGAGUGGCGAACGGGUGAGUAACGCGUGGGUGACCUACCCUCGAGUGGGGGAUAACGUUCCGAAAGGGACGCUAAUACCGCAUGACAUUCCGGGUUCGAAGACCUGGAAAUCAAAGCCGGGGACCGCAAGGCCUGGCGCUCGAGGAGGGGCCCGCGUCUGAUUAGCUAGUUGGCGGGGUAAUGGCCCACCAAGGCGACGAUCAGUAGCCGGCCUGAGAGGGCGGACGGCCACACUGGGACUGAGACACGGCCCAGACUCCUACGGGAGGCAGCAGUGGGGAAUUGUUCGCAAUGGGCGCAAGCCUGACGACGCAACGCCGCGUGGAGGAUGAAGGUCUUCGGAUUGUAAACUCCUGUUGAUCGGGACGAAAAGCUUCGACCUAACACGUCGAAGACUGACGUACCGGUGAGGAGCC
This 500-nucleotide ribosomal RNA is filed under the name uncultured bacterium. RNAcentral describes it as "bacterial SSU rRNA". It matches the Rfam family "Bacterial small subunit ribosomal RNA", at positions 8 to 492 of the family's 1533-position model. The record is from RNAcentral.